GCAAUGUCACAAUCGCCACUGUUCUCACCUCUUUCCAAUCUUGUCAAUGUUCUCUGUGACUUGAGGCACCGUUGGCAUUGGAAACACCGUCCCCUUUCUCCUUUUCUUCCUUCACAUUUAGCACUAGUAGAUUUGGUGUUAUUAGAGUCACCCACACAAUCCCAUUUGGAGCCAAGUGCACACAGUCAAACCUAACCCUUUCUUUUUCUUUCCAAACCCAAGAAACCAAAUAACUUUUCUCCACCCG
Molecule: long non-coding RNA, 247 nt
Filed under: Vigna radiata
Lineage: Eukaryota; Viridiplantae; Streptophyta; Magnoliopsida; Fabales; Fabaceae
Description: long non-coding RNA (VRAD_LNC000863)
Source: RNAcentral